Mustela lutreola (European mink) is the source of this 665-nucleotide long non-coding RNA. RefSeq lists it as uncharacterized. The transcript is spliced from 4 exons. NCBI's taxonomy places the organism in Eukaryota, Metazoa, Chordata, Mammalia, Carnivora, Mustelidae. The record is from RefSeq and is a predicted model, not a curated record.
CAUUGCGUCAGCAGCUGGCGCGCCCUCCAUCCCCAAGAGCUAACGACUCAGGGCUGGGUUGCGACCGGAAUAUAACUCGGUUCCGAUUUAGGCUUGUGCGGUCCUAGACUAACCUGCAGGAUUUUAGUCUGUAGAGUUCCUUAUUAUUCAUUUUUUCUUAGACCAACACGAAGAAUCAUCGGCCACACUAAAGAUGGCGGUAGCCGCUUUACCGUGGUAACGGGGAAGUCAUUUGCUAAAAACCUUGACUCUUAUAUUUUAGUUCCUCCCUAUGAGGGAAGGGAAGUGCUUGGUCCCGCCCCAGCAGCGUGCCGAAAACCAGUGCUGAGAUUAUGCUGAGUGAAGUAAGUCAAGCAGAGAGAGUCAAGUAUCAUAUGGUUUCACUUAUUUGUGGAGCAAAAGGAGUAACACGGAGGACAUUGAGAGAUGGAGAGGAGAAGACCCAGUCUAGGAUACCAUGUUACGUUCUUGUUAUGGAUCCUUUGGCUUCUGUUGACUGUGGUAGUUUCACAGAAUUUCUUUGUUUCGAUGACCUUGACAGUAUUGAGGAAUACUACUCAGGAAUACUUUUGAUGUGACCCAGUGUGUGUUUUCCUUUGAGAUCACCGCAGAGAAGUUGCAAGUGGCAUCACUGCCUCGUACUGGAGAAGCACGUGUGGGUCUGU